This 700-nucleotide ribosomal RNA is filed under the name uncultured Staphylococcus sp. RNAcentral describes it as "bacterial SSU rRNA". It matches the Rfam family "Bacterial small subunit ribosomal RNA", at positions 63 to 745 of the family's 1533-position model. Lineage: Bacteria; Bacillati; Bacillota; Bacilli; Caryophanales; Staphylococcaceae. The record is from RNAcentral.
CGAGCGAACGGACGAGAAGCUUGCUUCUCUGAUGUUAGCGGCGGACGGGUGAGUAACACGUGGAUAACCUACCUAUAAGACUGGGAUAACUUCGGGAAACCGGAGCUAAUACCGGAUAAUAUUUUGAACCGCAUGGUUCAAAAGUGAAAGACGGUCUUGCUGUCACUUAUAGAUGGAUCCGCGCUGCAUUAGCUAGUUGGUAAGGUAACGGCUUACCAAGGCAACGAUGCAUAGCCGACCUGAGAGGGUGAUCGGCCACACUGGAACUGAGACACGGUCCAGACUCCUACGGGAGGCAGCAGUAGGGAAUCUUCCGCAAUGGGCGAAAGCCUGACGGAGCAACGCCGCGUGAGUGAUGAAGGUCUUCGGAUCGUAAAACUCUGUUAUUAGGGAAGAACAUAUGUGUAAGUAACUGUGCACAUCUUGACGGUACCUAAUCAGAAAGCCACGGCUAACUACGUGCCAGCAGCCGCGGUAAUACGUAGGUGGCAAGCGUUAUCCGGAAUUAUUGGGCGUAAAGCGCGCGUAGGCGGUUUUUUAAGUCUGAUGUGAAAGCCCACGGCUCAACCGUGGAGGGUCAUUGGAAACUGGAAAACUUGAGUGCAGAAGAGGAAAGUGGAAUUCCAUGUGUAGCGGUGAAAUGCGCAGAGAUAUGGAGGAACACCAGUGGCGAAGGCGACUUUCUGGUCUGUAACUGACG